Molecule: non-coding RNA, 135 nt
Organism: Triticum urartu
Lineage: Eukaryota; Viridiplantae; Streptophyta; Magnoliopsida; Poales; Poaceae
Source: Rfam
AUGUUACUCCCUUCGUCCGAAAAUACUUGUCAUCAAAAUGAAUUAAAAAAGAUGUAUCUAAAACUAAAAUACAUAUAGAUACAUCCCUUUUUAUUCACUUUGAUAACAAGUAUUUCCGAAUGGAGGGAAUACAUA